GGCGGCAUAGCCAAGUGGUAAGGCAAGGGUCUGCAAAACCUUCACCCCCAGUUCGAGUCUGGGUGCCGCCU
Molecule: transfer RNA, 71 nt
Filed under: Myxacorys californica WJT36-NPBG1
Lineage: Bacteria; Bacillati; Cyanobacteriota; Cyanophyceae; Leptolyngbyales; Leptolyngbyaceae
Also listed under: 3 other names
Description: tRNA-Cys
Rfam family: tRNA
About the family: Transfer RNA (tRNA) molecules are approximately 80 nucleotides in length.
Source: RNAcentral